RNAcentral lists this ribosomal RNA (465 nucleotides) under Vreelandella stevensii. RNAcentral's name for it is "partial 16S ribosomal RNA". It matches the Rfam family "Bacterial small subunit ribosomal RNA", at positions 338 to 795 of the family's 1533-position model. The record is from RNAcentral. Lineage: Bacteria; Pseudomonadati; Pseudomonadota; Gammaproteobacteria; Oceanospirillales; Halomonadaceae.
CCUACGGGGGGCGGCAGUGGGGAAUAUUGGACAAUGGGCGAAAGCCUGAUCCAGCCAUGCCGCGUGUGUGAAGAAGGCCUUCGGGUUGUAAAGCACUUUCAGUGGGGAAGAAAGCCUUGGGGCUAAUACCCUCGAGGAAGGACAUCACCCACAGAAGAAGCACCGGCUAACUCCGUGCCAGCAGCCGCGGUAAUACGGAGGGUGCGAGCGUUAAUCGGAAUUACUGGGCGUAAAGCGCGCGUAGGCGGUCUGAUAAGCCGGUUGUGAAAGCCCCGGGCUCAACCUGGGAACGGCAUCCGGAACUGUCAGGCUAGAGUGCAGGAGAGGAAAGUAGAAUUCCCGGUGUAGCGGUGAAAUGCGUAGAGAUCGGGAGGAAUACCAGUGGCGAAGGCGGCCUUCUGGACUGACACUGACGCUGAGGUGCGAAAGCGUGGGUAGCAAACAGGAUUAGAUACCCGGGUAGUC